RNAcentral lists this non-coding RNA (950 nucleotides) under Cepola schlegelii. RNAcentral's name for it is "12S ribosomal RNA". It matches the Rfam family "Bacterial small subunit ribosomal RNA". The record is from RNAcentral. Lineage: Eukaryota; Metazoa; Chordata; Actinopteri; Priacanthiformes; Cepolidae (in: ray-finned fishes).
UAAAAGCUUGGUCCUGACUUUACUGUCAGCUCUGGCUAGACUUACACAUGCAAGUAUCCGCACCCCUGUGAGAAUGCCCUACAGUCUCCCGCCCGGAAACAAGGAGCCGGCAUCAGGCUCACAUGUUGUAGCCCAUAACGCCUUGCUCAGCCACCCCCCCACGGGAACUCAGCAGUGAUAAAUAUUAAGCCAUAAGUGUAAACUUGACUUAGUCAAAGCCAAAUAAGGGCCGGUAAAACUCGUGCCAGCCACCGCGGUUAUACGAGAGGCCCGAGCUGAUAGUCUUCGGCGUAAAGGGUGGUUAAGAAUAAUACAAACUAAAGCUGAACCCUUUAACAAGCUGUUAUAAGCACUUAAAGGCUGGAAACUCCACCACGAAAGUGGCUUUAUUAUAUCUGAAUCCACGAAAGCCAGGGGACAAACUGGGAUUAGAUACCCCACUAUGCCUGGCCCUAAACACUGACAGCCCAUUACACCCACUGUCCGCCAGGGGACUACAAGCAUUAGCUUAAAACCCAAAGGACUUGGCGGUGCUUCAGACCCCCCUAGAGGAGCCUGUCCUAGAACCGAUAACCCCCGUUCAACCUCACCCUCCCUUGCUUUUUCCGCCUAUAUACCACCGUCGUCAGCUUACCCUGUGAAGGGUUAUCAGUAAGCAAAAUUGGCACCGCCCAAAACGUCAGGUCGAGGUGUAGCGUAUGAGAGGGGAAGAGAUGGGCUACAUUCUUUAGUGUAAAGAACUACGGACCAUACAUUGAAACAUGUAUUUAAAGGAGGAUUUAGCAGUAAGCAGAAAAUAGAGCGUUCCGCUGAAACCGGCCCUGAAGCACGUACACACCGCCCGUCACUCUCCCCAAGCGUAAGCGAACUAAUAACUAAUACUUAGCACCUGCAAAGGGGAGGCAAGUCGUAACAUGGUAAGUGCACCGGAAGGUGUACUUGGAUAAAAU